This is a long non-coding RNA of Cyprinus carpio carpio, 9875 nucleotides long. NCBI's taxonomy places the organism in Eukaryota, Metazoa, Chordata, Actinopteri, Cypriniformes, Cyprinidae. The record is from Ensembl.
AAACAAACAACGCAAAAGAUUGUGUGUGUCAUUGGGUGUCAAAUAACGAGAAGAAGAGAAUGACGUGUUCUCCCGGCACCUAUUUAUUCUAUAGUUGCACCGGUAGUGACAGGGGCUGUCGCCGGCCAACUUGUUGGUGUUUUUCCAUUGUAUGCUUCAGACACUGGUCACAACAAGGCGUUCCCCAUAGCGACCCCUUGAGGACGCAGUUCAAAGUUCCCUUGAAAGGGAACAUGAAUUUAAAGUGCUUUUGAUGCCUUGUCUUUGUAAAGACAAAUUGCAAUUAGUGUCAAGUCAUCAAAAAGAGCCACAAAAGAUGCUACAUGUGUGCUUUUUACACUUAAGAAAAAGCAAAAAAAAAAAGAGCAAAAAUGUAAACCCUAAAAAUCUGUCAGCACAUUUUACUGUGUUGCCUCUAAAAUCUUUGUGAAUGUGAAUUCAAAUCUGAUGUGGAUGUGAACAAAACACGUUUCCUAUCUCAUUCUCUUGCUUUGUACACCUUCCAUUCUUCAUUCUUUCUUUAUAACCUAGUCUUCUUAACGUGACAAGCACGCUCUAGUGUCCCUAAAAGUGGGCCACUUCUUACACAGCAUAAUGUUGAAAGAGGUCAUUGGUACCAGGAUAUGCAUCACAACAGCUAUGUAUUGACCUACUUACACAUAACCUGUUCUAUCUUUUCUAUCUGUUCUUUUGUCAUCUUUAAUGGACAAAACAUAAAUGGGUGCAAACUGAUCAAUUUGGGCUGCAUGGUCAGUUUUUUUCAGCCCUAGUUUGCUGUGUACAGCCCCUGUAUCAACAACACAAACUUUAACCUAAAUUGUGAAAUCCAGGUGCCUAAGGUUACUUCAAGAUCUUUUUUGUGUGUGUGCUGUUUUGAGCCCCAUUGAGCAUAAUUGGCACCAUUAGCGGACAUUGAUUUAUAUUUGUUAACAGAAAUAAAUCAUAGAAUUUCUGUAUGUGUUGUGGAUGCACUGAGAUUACAAUUCUGCAUGGAUAAGAUGAUAAUUAUGGCAUCUAAUAAUGUUUUAAAUUAAUGCUAAGUGAGAUUUAUACUACUGUUCAAAACAUUUGGGGUCAGUGGGAUUUUUUUUUUUAAUGUUUUUAAUUGUUUACAAUUAAAAUGACUCUUUUUUUAAUUUGCUGCUGAAGAAACAUUUAUCAUUAUUAUCAGUGUUAAUAUAAUAUGCUUAAUAUUUUGUGAAAACCAUGAUACAUUUUUUCAGGAUUAUUUCAUGAAUAGAAUUUUUAAAUGAACACCAUUUAUUUGAAAUUGAAAUCAUUUGUCACAUUAUAAAUGCCUUUACUGACACUUUGUAUUUACUGUCACUUUUCUGAAAAAAAAAGUAUUAAUUACUUACAUUUAUUUUCCCACUUGUUUGAAUGAUGGUGUAGAUUACAAAAAAGGUAAUCUAAAUGUAAAAAAAAGUGGAAAUGAGCUGCACAAUUAAAUAUCCAAUGACUCAAUGUUGCAGAGUGCAUGUAACCUCUCUAGCUUUGCAAUGUAAGGAAAACAAACCCUGUCUUCUUUGCAAGAUCUUAGUAAAUGUGGUCUGGUGACAUUGGUUGGCUUUUCAUGCUUGCUGUCUGCACGUGUUUGCAAAGGGAAGUCUUCAUUAUGUGAGAGUACUUUCGAAUGUUCCAUUUGACCUGAUAUUAACUCCACUCUACAUUUGUCUAUUGUGACUGCUGCUGCCAGACUAAAGUAAGGACGGGUGACUACCCAGAGCAGUAGGUUGCAACAUAAGCUAUCUGAACAUGUUUUAAAAAAGGGAACAUGAUGUGCAAUUCCAUGCUCAGCUGCUUGCAGUAACUCUAAAGCAGAGACUGAUCUCAUCUGUGUGUUCGGAGAGCGUGUUUUUGUUGAAACACAGCCACAAACUUUCCUAAUCCACUUACAACAAACUUUCACCCAAUUCCUUCAUGCAUAUACAAAAGUGCACAAUGUGCAACAGUUGCACACUGACAGACUAAAACUUAUUACUCAAGUUCUGAUUAUUUGCAUCCAAAAUUAACAAUCACUAAGUGCCAAGCAAAACCUGUUUUUUUAAAAGUAAAUACUGUUACAUGUAGAGACAAGUGUGUUGGCAAGAAGAACGCUAGUAGACUGACAAGCCUUAGAGACUUUGGUUAUUUGCCAGUUAGAUGGUGACUUUGAACUCCAACAUAAUACUAAGAAUGAUAGUCUGACCCUCACACAUGCAAGAAACAAAAAAGAUUCCAAUCCAAUCUACUAAAGAAAAAUGUUGCCACUUAUAGCAACUUUUUACCUCCAAAGUAGCAUAAGAAGUUGACAAUUUAAGAUGCAAAUUUAUUUUUCUCUCUAAAGAAUUUUAUAAAGACUCAUUUGUGAAAUAUUGCCCACAAAUAAACCACCAAGAAGAAAGUAUGAAGAACAACACCGCUUUUUUGGGAAAGGUACCACUUAAUUAAUUAUUUCUGCACUGUUAAAAAUUAGAAAAUAGUCCAAAAUACAAUUCCAUGACUGGUAUGAAAUAUUUCUGGUUCAUUUUGUCAAUUUGUAAAAAGAAUAAAAGUAAGACCCUGCUAAUUACAUUAAACCAAAAAAAUCAGUGCUUCAAAAAAUAUUGCUUUGUAUUGAAGUAAUUCAGUGCAAGAACAAUGUGUUCCACAGCAGAAUAUUUCCAGCAUUAUUCAUCAAGCAUUAAAAUUCAGUUCACACCUAACGUUGUUGAGCAGAUUGAACUCUAAAUCUGGAAAUUUCCUUUUUAAGGCGACGUCAUGUGGAUUUGCUACAAAACGUUUGUGUUUCUGAACAAUAUGUGUGACUGUGUCAAUGGCAUGUGAUUGCUGCUCAGAUGGCUUUAUCUAAAAAUAAAGCAGAGCUGGCUGAAAUAUCCCCACGGUAUAAAUAUUCAGUCACCUACAUUUGGCCUGCUUUGGAUAAUUCAGCUUACGUGACAAAUUCCCCUUCAUCACUGUGAGUGUGCAGAGAGCAGCGUAGACACUCUGUGCUAAAAUCCUUGCAAACACAAAAGUAGAUCACAGAUUUUUUUUCCCCCCCUUUUCAUUCUGUCUGCUUUUUUGGCAUCUAAAAGAAACCCAUGUAAUUUAAUCUAAUGAAUGUGCCUCUUUUGUGUCUAUAUGCCUAGGGCUCUUUUACAUUACAUUUAUUAUUUAUAUUUGCACGACAAUAGCCUGCAGAAUAACUUGUCUGAACCGAGAUGGAAAAAAAAAUUAGAUUCUUGAUCUGCUUGCAGUUCUGGCAUGAAUUGAUUGUUCCACUUUAAUUGCUUAAUUUAGAACAAAUAGAUUAGAUUAGAGUUUAGUGGAUCUGCAUAUGAUCCACCGGUUGACUUACAAGUUACAAUCUAACUGUCACAGAAGAAACAACAUUUGCAAAAGGUGGAGUUGUUGUUAGAAGCCAAUUAAGAGCCAUUAACACAUUUGCACAAUCCUUCUCCAGCUUUUUGGUGGGACUUGUUUACCAAGGCUUCCUGGAUUUGCAGCUCUAAAUGUACUCUAAAUGACAAUAAGUGAAUAUUAGUGCUUGUUAAUUAACCCAGAAACUAUGUAAAGAUGUUGCAGGAAGAGUGUUGUAUAAGAUCCCUAUUGUGUCAGUCUAAAACAAGGCAAGCAAGGAACCAAAGAGAACAACCAGAGUCCUUUAUUUUCUACUAUCAAAAAGUCCUAUGGGCUGCAGAAAAAUUUCUAUCACAUAAAGAAGGAAGUCGCUCUCUUCCCUUGUUUCUUUGGCGGUGUCCUCCCUGUCUUCUGUGGCUAGUCGAAACUUUAAAGAAAUACUGCUUUUUGGUCUAUGCGUCAACCACAUCAAACAGACCAGGUGAUACAUUCUGUCUGUGUUCAGUCCUCAGAGCUACAUGCAUUACCCCCCCCCCCCCCCCCCACACACACACACACACAUCUGCCCUUUCACAUCUCCUCCCACUUUGUCUCCCAUAUGCUUCUGAAUGGCCUCAGGGCUCUGCGCACUGCUUACACAGCAAACACACCGUAGACAGCGCAGAUACACCAUACAGAAGAGAUUUUGCCUGAAAAUAAGCAGGGUGUGAGAUGGAGGGUAGCCAGACAGCUGUAGCACCAGAAUGAGAGAGGCCGAGAGAGAAAGUACACUAUACAGAAUGAACAAAGCUCAGGGUAACCACUUUAACAAGCAAUCAAUACAUUAAAUCUAGUGAUGUCACAAUUCUCAAUAUUGAACCAUUUGGUACAACAUCCACAGUUCAGUAUGCAAUUGUGUUUUUUUUGGUUUUGUUUUGAUUAAUUUCCAUGUGUUUUAUUUCUCUCCUAGUUGGCUGUUUGUGUGCCCGACUUUACGCGCUGACAUGAGGAAAUACCUCCUUAACCUGUAUUUGAAAAGAGCAUACGACAAAACAUCUUCUCUUGUUAUGACUUGUAAUGAGAAGCAUUUCUAAAUCUGUUGUCCAACAAAAGAGAACAUAACGUUUUUACUCCACAACAUCAGUCGAAUGAUUGAAAUAACUUCCUUUUGUCAUCUGAUGUGGCUUCUUAUCACAGAAUGAGGAAGAAAAUAUAUUCUAUACUGUAAAAAGGCUAUGUCGAUUAGCAGUGGAUUAUAAAUAUACUUGAUUAUCAUGUAAAUACCUGAGAUGGCUUGUAGAACACAGAUUAACCAUUUAUUGCUGCAGUCGAGCAUUUAUUGUCUUCAUGUUUCAUCAUUCCAAACAUUUCUAUCUUGUUAUUCAGCUGCUACAGUGGGAGCUGGAUGCUUUUGUCCAUAUUAAGGAUUUCCUGGAACACCAUCAGUUCUAUUACUUCUAAAAAUUCUAUUACUUUUGUGAUGCAUAUGUGGAGUUUCUGGACUCCCAGUGUCCAGUAUGAAUGAAACCUAUAUUACAUGUUUAUAGCACUUUUAUAAUCACAUUUUAAAUUACAGUUUGCAAAAAACUCUAAUGUGCCAAGAAAUCAGAACCAAAACGAACCAAAUUGAAAACCGUGGUUAAAAAAAUGAGGUAUGUAUUGAACCAUGGCCUAACUGUAUUGUUGAAUCCCUAAUUGAAACUGAAAGCAUAAUUUUUGUUUAGAAUUUUAUAAAAUAUUUUUUGUUUAAACUGUUUUUCUUCAUCAAAUGAGGAUGCAUAGCUCAUACUGUGUGUGUGUGUGUAUUACUUAUUUUGCAGUUUAAUGUGCAGAGACAACUUUAAAUAAGUUAUUUCACAGGAUGACGUCCAUGUCAUCACAUAGUCCAGAAAUCCUAUUGUGGCAUAUUACAUGCUCAAAUUAAAAAGCACACUGAUAUUCCAUAUUAUAAUAAUAUUAUAAAAAAGUAAAUUAUUAUAAUUUUUUCAGUAUGCAUUGUGUAUAUUGUGCAUAUUGAUAAACCUGCUGUACAAUCAAGUCAUAAACAUAUUUCUUGUACAUUUUGAAUUUAGAAAAUUGCUUUUUAUCUUUUCAGUAAAAUUCUUGUUUCACUCCAAAUUUGGUUACUAUCAGCUCAUGCUUCCGUGCUUGGUUUAUUAGUAGGACCCCUUCUCGGUUAAAUAGAAUCGGGGAGUUGUUGUCUAGGUCGGAUCGAUUCAGUUUGUGAACCGGUUCAACCUACUCAAAAGAACAAUUCGGAUAGAUGCUAUAACAUCAUUACGUGGUGGCUGGACAAUUUUAAUACAGUGAUCAGUCACUUGACUUCUAUUGUUGCAAAAUAAUUUGAAUCAGCUUCUCAUGAAGCAAAGAUGCUAGUCAAAUGCUAAUGAAUUGCUCUCUUCAGGUAGACUUCCUAUUUUUUUUACUUCAUUACUUUUGUCGGUAUGUCAGUGAUCAUGUCGAGUGUUCCGUGUUUUCUGUCAGCUCUUUAGAAUCGGAACUAGCAAUGUCUAACUUGUGAAUGAUUCAUUCGAGUUGGUUCUGCUCAAUGAAUCGGUCAUACUUGUUAACAAAACUGUCUAAAUAGGUUUGCGAUUCAGUCUGAAUCAUUUACAGCAUGCACAAACUGAAUUAUUUGUGUGGUAAAACUAGCAUGCGAUUACAAUACAAAGUAAAAAAAAAAAAAAAACUCUGAAUAAAGUGGAUAUUGCAAUGCCUUUUUCUGUCAAAUCUGUUUGGAAUCAGGAAUUAGCUGACCUUGAUUUAUCUGUCGACUUGGGAGGGGGUGUGGCCUAAUCACAGUUUGGCCUUUAGGGACUUGGCUCAUCGUCUUAUAUAUUUCAAAGUUAUUCAUAGAGCAUGUAUAGUAACACAGAAUGUGUGGAUGAUGUCUGUUGUUGUUGUUGUUAUUGUUUUGGUGUUUGUUGUAUGUAUAAAAAUAAAUAAAUUUGAUCUCAAAAAAAAAAAAAAAAAAGAUUGUAACAUUUGGAUUAAAUCUAAAUGUAGGUCAAUGUGUCACGCUGGAGACCACCAGAGUAGCCUUCUGUUUAAUGCAUUAGAGAUCACCUUAAAUAGGACUGUUGAAAGGACACAGCUGCUCCCCCUGUUUACCCCAGUGUAUGAGUGCAUGUGUUUUGUAAUCACUCUUCCUGCUGAGUGUGUAAAGAGAGCACUGCUUUCAUAGCUCAAUACAAGUCUGUACGUUUGUGCAAAUAAGAGUGUAGUAAAACAGUUUUCAGCUCAGAAUGCCUAAAUACAGUAAAUUUAGUGCCCCAUGGACUAAUAUAUAAUAUAAUAUAAUAUAAUAUAAUAUACAUACAGUAUGAUAAACAUAAACUGCCAGCCCAAAGUUUGGAAAGAGGUUUUUCAUGUUUUUGAAAGCGGUCUCUAACGGGGGCAUUAACACCACACCAUUUUCAACUAAAAACUGAAAACUUUUUUAAUGCGUCUUGGCCGUUCAUUUACAUGACUGUGGUGUUUUGGGGGCCUGAAAACGGAAAUGAAUGAAAAUAGGUUUCAAAGUGCACACUUUUGUAAACAAUGCAGUUGUGUAAACUACAAAAAAUGUGAAUUUGUGAAAAUGGUGAUGUCAUGCACAUGUGUAUUAUGUGUUUAGUCCAAAGCUAUGUGCACAGGCACAUAGUGUUUAGCAUGCAGCAUCUUGGCCAUUUUUGCAAAUCCUUGUUAACGGGAUCGUUUUUGACAAUGUUGUCGUCUAUACGCAAAACUUUUGAAUAAAUAUUGUAAAAUAGUAUUCAUAUAAAAUAACUACUUUCUAUCUUAAUAUAUUUUGAAAGGUAUUUUAUUUCUGUGAUGGCACAGCUGAAUUUUUCAGCAGCCAGUGUCACAUGAUCCUUCAAAAAUCAUUCUAAUAUUUGGUGUUCAGUUAUUAUCACAUAUGGUGUUCAGUUCUGGUUCUUCUUAUAUGCAUAUGUAUGCACCUUUUCUUUCUUUUUUCUUUUUUGUGGAGGAAGCAUACCAUGUUCAUUGUCAAGAUUAAGAAACAUAGUUUUAUCUGUUUUUGAUUUGUUGUAAGAUGUUAAUCCUUUCACAGUUGUUUUCAUUGAAAAGGAUUAACUGCAAUUUUAAAACCUCUGUUUCAUUUGUUAACUUGUGUUGUGUUGGGGUCCACCUGCUAUGCUAAUCCCUCGUAAAAAUGCAUGGUUUAGUACAAGUAGUAGUUGAAAAGAGAGGGAUAAAACCCCUGUGUUAACAGUUUGUAGUCCAUCCUAACAUAUCCAAUACAUGUCAAUAGUAAAACUAGCUUCAGAAAGCCAGGUAUGGUUUUCCAGAUGUUCAAUGUAGUCUGAUCUUUAAAUGUCACCGCAAGACAGCAUUAAUAAGCAGCAUGCUUUAUUUGUUCCAUCAGUGAGGUCAAGCAUUCUGACAGAUCCAAGCUGGAAUGCAAGUGGGUCGGCAACCCCCAGUUCAGGAUCGGAAAUCAUUCCUCUCAUGCCUCAGAGCGGAGUAGUGCUGACGCUGGAACUGAGCAGGCCAGGGGAAUACCCUGUGGGCUUUACCUGUCUCUCUGAGACUACAAACAUUAAUGUUGGCCGUGUGGGUCCAAUAAAAUGUUGCUUACAUACUGAAUCAAAUGUUUAAAACUGAAUCAAGGGCAAAAAUCUGUUUUUCUCCACAGCUGUUCAGAUUAAGUGUCUUUUUAUUAUUAAUUAGCCUUUCUUUCUUCUACAUAUUACUACAUAUUUAUGGCUGAAAAAUAUUUUCUGAGCAGCCUGUGCCACGGCAUCAACAGAGCUCUUUUGUUCUUGAUCAUGAACUUUCAAACCUAAGGACUGUGUGUGACAUUGAACUAGUGAGGACUCAACAAUAUGGCCCAGUAGCCCAGGGCCAGCUUAUGAAACUGUAUGUAGACAUACAGUAUAUACUACAGUUGGUGUGUGUGUGUGUGUGUGUGUGUGUGUGUGUGUGUGUGUGUGUGUGUGUGUGUGUGUGUGUGUGUGAAAAAUAAUGGAAUAGAAAACACUUCUUUCAAAUUGUGAUAAGAUUUCUCAUUGUUACUGCUUUUGAAAUUUUAUUCAAAUAAAUGCAGCUUUGCAGUUAAAAAAAUAUCUUUAUCUAAAAAAAAAAAAAGUGACCAUCCCUAAAAAUUUGAACAGUAAUGUUUACUACUAUUGCCUUAACUUUUGUUAGAUGUUGCUAGAUCAUUUUAGGUUUCAUAAAAUACCCCUCUGUGCUUCUUCAGUCUUGAUUAUCUAGUGUUAUAACAAACCUGAUCUGUGUCUAAUGAGAGCAAUCAAACAUCAGUGGAGACCAAACACUGUUUCCCUGGGGGUCUAGAUAUUUCACAUUGAAUACAGAUCAACCAUUUACAUAUUAUGUUAUGAAUAAAUUAAUGUUUUCAUUCACCAACAGAUGCGAUGUCAGAAACACACAAUCAGAGGCUAAAUUAACAGUCCAGUUAUAACCAUUACAAUAACCAGGGGAGCUCCAAACACAGGACCAAACCAAACACAACAUCCUUUGGUUUGUUACUUGCUAACACAGAUUGGGUUAAAUCACUUUAGUAAGAGAGAAUGUACUCCAUAACAAAAAUAAUUUUUUUUCCCUUCUAUAUGUCAUUUUUUUCAGUAAUACCAGUAUUAUAAUGUUAGUUUGUGUAUAAUAAUGCAUUGUUUAUUGUGAGAAGAUUUGUAUGUUGUUUAUUGAGUACAUUUACAUAUAUCACUCUGUUUAUAUAUGGUACUAUGACAAAGUGAUUUGAAUCAUUUCUGAGCAUGUUAUUUGUUUCUUGGUUUUACAAGGCUGGGUGGGGGUGGGGGAUUGUGGAUAGAAAGCUUUUGUCUUUUCUUUGUUUUUUGAUAACCUUUCUAGAUUGUAACUCAUAAUCCAGAUUGCAGAUUAGCAGCUGUUGAUGCAGUGGUCUGAGUAUUAAUCUCCACAACUGGGUGCUCCUAUCAUCUACCUGGAUGAGGCAAGGGUCAAACCGGAGGAUAACUCAGGAUUAUUCUUCUUGGCAACAACAAAAUGGGCAAGCAUCAUGCAAAUAAUCCUCAUGGAAUCCUUGAGGAAGAUGAUUGAGGCCUCUGGAAUAACAUCCCGAGGUCUUCCUGUUUUGUGUAAAGGGUGUAUCCUGGCCGGGAUUUCUAAAUGAAAGUGUGUGACCCAAACACUGUACCAAGAUUGUGAAAAGUUCCAAAGAAUAAUGAGGACCUAUAACCAAGGAUUUACACAAGCUCCAGUCUGGAUCCAGAACACCUGAGAAGAGAUGAUGCCAACCCCUCAGAGGACAUCAGAUGAUGCUAACCCAGAGACAACAUACAGAACUACCACAUUUUGCUAUAAGUUUGAUUGCAAAAUUGCUGUUAAUAGUGUUAAUCGUCUGUUUGUUUACGUCUUUUUAUUGAUUUUUCUGAACAUUUCUGCCAUAUGCACAUGAACUGACAGUCACCACUGAUAAGCUACUACUAAAUAUUGUAGAAACUUAAUUUUCUGUAAAGUUGCUUUGUAAUGAUUUGUAUCGUAAAAAGCGCUAUACAAAUAAACUUGAAUUGAAUUGAAUUAAAUGCAAAAUGGAAAAGGAGCAUAUAUAUAUAUAUAUAUAUAUAUAUAUAUAA